This 465-nucleotide ribosomal RNA is filed under the name uncultured bacterium. Its description in RNAcentral is "partial 16S ribosomal RNA". It matches the Rfam family "Bacterial small subunit ribosomal RNA", at positions 28 to 507 of the family's 1533-position model. The record is from RNAcentral.
GAUGAACGCUGGCGGCGUGCCUAACACAUGCAAGUCGAACGGAAAGGCCCUGCUUGCCGGGUCUUCGAGUGGCGAACGGGUGAGUAACACGUGGAUGAUCUGCCAUGUACUUUGGGGUAAGCCUGGGAAAAUGGGUACAAUCCCGGAUAGCAGCCAUUUCUAGUGUGAUGGAUGGAAAGAUUUUUGGGGGUUGGAUGAGCUCGCGGCCUAUCAGCUUGUUGGUGGGGUAGUGGCCUACUAAGGCAGCGACGGGAAGCCGGCCGGGGUGGGUGGACGGCCACAUUGGGACUGAGGUACGGCCCAGGCGCCUACUGGAGGCAACAGUGGGGAAUAUUGCUCAAGGCGCGCAAGCCGGAUGCAGCGACGCCUCGUGGGGGAUGACGGCCUUCGGGUUGUAAACUCCUUUCGCUAGAGACGAAGCUUUUUGUGACGGUACCUAAAUAAUAAGCACCGGCUAACUACGUG